GAAAAUUAAUUUAUUCAUGAUUUGCAUGCAGACUGAAAAAUGCCUCGGAACGUCUCGUAAUACAGAUCAGAAGGCAUAUAUAUAUGCAUACACAACCUUACAGUAUAGUUCAUGAUUAUAUCAGGAUUUGUCAUUCACAGUAAACAUGUCGAUGCAAAGAUUUCAUCUAACAUUCAUCAACUAAACCCCCUCCACCCCAACUUCCCCUCAAUCCCAUUCGGCUUUGUGCUGGAACAAAAUUUCCUUGAAAUCAGCAGAUCGGGAUUACUAUCCUCUCGAGGCGACACUUCUUUCAGUCACCCUUGAUGGGUCUUUGGAAACUAGAAUGAUUUCUAUUAUAAUUAAUCAGGCAUUUACAUGUAACUACACUCUGCUUGGUCCAUUAACCUACUUGAAGACGCUUAGCUACUGUGUGACUAUUUGUGGUUACCAUUAGGUACAUGACUGCGCUACGUCUGAGCUGAGGGAAUUGGACAUGAUUGAUCACUGUAAACAUAACGCGACACUGUAGAUAUUUGAUAAUAAAAUGGACCAUGUAAAGACAAAAGACCGAUUUGGCCUCUGGUGGUUUUUACACAUCGACUGACUAGGGGAGGACAAAAUAAUAUGAACACCUAACAAUGUAAUGCGAGCCAACACACCACCACCAAACUCUGAAGCAUCGAAAAAUGCCAGUUCUUGAACUUAAGUGAUAAAGCCGUGUAUUGAACUGCAUUAAGCUUGCAGGUGUCCAUGCCGUCUUCACCCCCUGCUGAUGAGGUAAUGGCUGAGGUACGACUACCGCUAAUCCGAUGAAAGGAUGAGCAGCAGAAGAGUCCGAUACAUGUAAUUCAUGUCUGUGCUAGAAUAGUCGUCGUUGGUUACUGAAUCUCAUUACUGCAAAAACUCAAAAAAGGCAAUAUGGUCUAUGGGUUGUGCUCAAACCACCAAACCAGAGUGCGCUCCAGGUGCACACAUACUUCUCAGCUGACGGGAGAACAGAUGUAACCUGUGGGGAUCCCGUCAAGACAACACAAUACAGGGAUGCGCGCACAAAAAAAAAAAAAGCAUCUGGAUUACAGUUCUUCAGCUGUCCAAAACCACAGAAGGCAGGGGACGGGGGGAGAGUGGGUGAGGAAGUGGAAGUUAUAGGGGAGGAGGUUGCAGCGAGCUUUUGGCUUGUCAGUACGGUGCGACUGUGAAUUCAGAGCAAGUUUUUGUCUUUGUUUUACAAAAAAAAAAAAAGAUGCAUGGCUGCAUUCACCAAAGCACGGGAAGCCCAGAGACUCGCAAGCACCCCGAAGAAGCCUUUAGUGAGGAAUUGGGAGAGUGGGGGGGGUGGGGGGGUAUGCGGUGGCUGGAGGAAAGUAAAAUUGGAGCACCAGGCGCCCUGAUCAUGGAGGCCGGGAAGGAUUCUGUGCCAUCUACUAACCCUAAAGCUGCUUUCUUUUUAGGGAAAUUAUGAUUUGAAAAAUGUCUUGAAACUGCAUUAUUUUUCUUGCCUACAUGUUCAGUAAUUUAAAAAGGAAGCAUACACUGUUUUGGUUGAAUUCUACACUUUUGCAAACAAAGAUUUCAGUGUAUCCAAGUAAGUGACACUUCAGAGGCAAAGCUGCACUAUCGGGAUAUACGAUAGACAAUAAAAUGUCCAGUGUUAAGUUUUUUUUUUAAAUAAGAUUCUGGCUAUCUAUUAUGACAAUUAACAAAAGGGUCCUCCAAGAUCAGGAAGGUGAGGUUAGGGAGCAGCUUUGAACAAGAGGAUCCUGCCACUACCAACUCACCUUUUAAUCAACUCAUCUAUUCACUCCUCUCCUUCUUCUUCCCUUUCCUUCCUUCCUGUCCUUUGUUAGGCAACGCCCUCUUUGUCUCGACUCCGUCUGGCAGCUGUCAGAGCAAACGCCGGAGACAACACGUUUUUGACAUACUGAACGUGUGGGAUCGUGUGCGUGCGUGUAUGUAUGUGUGAGAGGCUCUCUGUCUCAGCACAAUCUUGACAGAGUUUCCAGUCUGUUUGGAGAGAGGGUGACCGCCUCGACCCAGGUCGUCCUCCCCCGAAUCCACCACCAGCGAUCUGCCAAUCACAUCCCAUACCUGCAGCGUGGGGGUCAAGCUGACUGUCCUCUAGUCGAAAUGAGGCUCUGCCGUCUGGUCCGGCAACAAUAUUCCCCAGAUCACCUACGUGCUGUAACGACGACAUUACUGCACGUGAGAAGAAUAACACAUAAUCUCCACAUAACACAGGACUAGGAGCCUUUGGAGGAACGUCUACCUCAGGGACCAGCAUCUAAAUUAAGUUUUCCUGAAAUUAUUUUCCCUCCAACAGGGGAAGCACUCUGUCACAAAUUUUAAUCUGCAGCCGCAAACCUUGGACUAAAAGUUCUGGACACUUGUUACUGAAAUAUGGCUUUGGACUGUCAUGUUGGGGAUCGAUGAGAACUGGACAGCGAGGAAAAAUACUUUCAGGACCAGAGGCUUCGCCUGCUUUAUGUAAUAUAUCAUUUUGGAUCUUGUAGCAGUGCCCAGGUGGUCCAAUUUGAAAUGCUGUAAACAGCACCGCACCUGGAGCUCAAACAAAAUAAAUCCCUGUCAUAAAUUGUA
Molecule: long non-coding RNA, 2577 nt
Organism: Acanthopagrus latus (yellowfin seabream)
Lineage: Eukaryota; Metazoa; Chordata; Actinopteri; Spariformes; Sparidae
Exons: 4
Source: RefSeq, a predicted model, not a curated record